RNAcentral lists this ribosomal RNA (465 nucleotides) under uncultured bacterium. RNAcentral's name for it is "partial 16S ribosomal RNA". It matches the Rfam family "Bacterial small subunit ribosomal RNA", at positions 338 to 795 of the family's 1533-position model. The record is from RNAcentral.
CCUACGGGAGGCAGCAGUGGGGAAUUUUGCGCAAUGCUCGUAAGACUGACGCAGCGACGCCGCGUGAAUGACGAAGGCCUUCGGGUCGUAAAGCUCUUUCGACAGGGAAGAAAAUGCCUAUAAGUAACUGUGUAUGUAUUGCCGGUACCUGUAUAAGCAGCCCCGGCUAACUCCGUGCGAGCAGCCGCGGUAAUACGGGGGGGGCGUGCGUUGUUCGGAGUGGCGGGGCGUAAAGGGAGCGUAGGCGGUGUUGUAAGUCAUGAGUGAAAGACUAGGGCUCAACGUUAGUAAUGCUAGUGAUACUAGAAGACUGGAGUAUCAGAGAGGAUUGCAGAAUUACUGGUGUAGCGGUGAAAUGCGUAGAUAUCAGGAGGAAAACCGGUAGCGAAGGCGGCAAUCUGGCUGGAAACUGACGCUGAGGUGCGAAAGCGUGGGUAGCAAACAGGAUUAGAUACCCGGGUAGUC